This is a long non-coding RNA of Gadus morhua (Atlantic cod), 1169 nucleotides long. RefSeq lists it as uncharacterized. The transcript is spliced from 5 exons. The record is from RefSeq and is a predicted model, not a curated record. Lineage: Eukaryota; Metazoa; Chordata; Actinopteri; Gadiformes; Gadidae.
CACACAUUAACAUACGCACAGACACAUUACCGAGUUACAAUUAUGUUAAUUUAUUUAAGAUACCUAGUGAAUCAUAGAAUCUUAUAUCAAUCAAAUAGUUCUUCAUAAAACAUGAAAUUCAUAAAUAUUAAUCAAUAAAUGAGGGAGACAGGUGGAUGAACCGGGAAGUCUGUUUACUUUUUUGUCCCCUAACUCAGAAAAGUUUUCAAAAUAAAAGUGUUUCCUUAGCUUCUCUUUUUUUCCAGUUGUAUUUUGAUACUGUGAGAGUCCCAGGAUUUCACCACAGACGAUACAAAGUAGGCUACAGCAUUACUAUACGUUGACUUUAUAUGGAGUCGAACGCGCCUGUCGCCUGGAACGCGUCUAUUUGACUUUGUAUGGAGCCGAACGCGCCCAUCGCCUGGAACGCGUCUAUGCGUUGACUUUGUAUUGAAGUCACGUCGCCUUCGCUUUUGAUGUGAACGCGCCAUUACUUUAGUUUCACUAUUCACAUGAACGAUGUGACGCAGUUAGCUGUGGUAAAAGCUCUUCCUCUUUCUGAUCCGUCUGCACAGCGGACCCCAGCAGCUCAAUCUUUACUCUCAGAACCUUUGUUAAUGUUCUGUCUCGCUUCUAAACACUUCUCUGUUAUUUGGUGAACACCUAAAUCUCUUUAUUCCCCCCUUCCCUUGCAUUUGUGCAUCUAUAUUUCCAUUCAACACGGGCAGCACACGAUUCGUCACGGAAAGGAUAAGGUCUCCAGUCUACUAUGGAUGAGGAGAGAGAGGAGGGGGCUCCUACCUCUAAAACCACUCUGUCUGGGAAACAUGGCCGCCAGAGCAAAGCUAAGAGCCCAGAGCAGCGGGAGAGAGCGGACUCCCCUGGACCCAGCUGUGUCUCCUUGAAGAGUGACCACUCUAUGGAUUGUCCUAUUUACUUUAAAGAUAGACGCCCCUCCAGAGAGGAAAGAUUCCAGAAGGAGAGGGCAGACUCCCCUGGACCAAGCUGUGUCUCCUUGAAGAGCGACCGGUCUAUGGAUCGUCCUCCUCACCUUAAAGAUGGACGCCCCUCCAGAGAGGAGAGGCGACCACAGGAGAGGUCAAAGGUUACCAGUGCUCAGUCUGUACAGCAGAAUAAAACAGAGCUGAUCAAGGUGUGUAAAUGAAAAACUACAUUUGACUUCAGCUCUA